RNAcentral lists this ribosomal RNA (468 nucleotides) under uncultured bacterium. RNAcentral's name for it is "partial 16S ribosomal RNA". It matches the Rfam family "Bacterial small subunit ribosomal RNA", at positions 28 to 507 of the family's 1533-position model. The record is from RNAcentral.
GACGAACGCUGGCGGCGUGCUUAACACAUGCAAGUCGAACGGAAAGGCCCUGCUUUUGUGGGGUGCUCGAGUGGCGAACGGGUGAGUAACACGUGAGUAACCUGCCCUUGACUUUGGGAUAACUUCAGGAAACUGGUGCUAAUACCGGAUAGGAGCUCCUGCUGCAUGGUGGGGGUUGGAAAGUUUCGGCGGUUGGGGAUGGACUCGCGGCUUAUCAGCUUGUUGGUGGGGUAGUGGCUUACCAAGGCUUUGACGGGUAGCCGGCCUGAGAGGGUGACCGGCCACAUUGGGACUGAGAUACGGCCCAGACUCCUACGGGAGGCAGCAGUGGGGAAUAUUGCACAAUGGGCGGAAGCCUGAUGAAGAAACGCCGCGUGCGGGAUGACGGCCUUCGGGUUGUAAACCGCUUUCGCCUGUGACGAAGCGUGAGUGACGGUAAUGGGUAAAGAAGCACCGGCUAACUACGUG